GAUGAACGCUGGCGGCGUGCCUAAUACAUGCAAGUCGAGCGAACAGACGAGGAGCUUGCUCCUCUGACGUUAGCGGCGGACGGGUGAGUAACACGUGGAUAACCUACCUAUAAGACUGGGAUAACUUCGGGAAACCGGAGCUAAUACCGGAUAAUAUAUUGAACCGCAUGGUUCAAUAGUUAAAGACGGUUUUGCUGUCACUUAUAGAUGGAUCCGCGCCGCAUUAGCUAGUUGGUAAGGUAACGGCUUACCAAGGCAACGAUGCGUAGCCGACCUGAGAAGGUGAUCGGACACACUGGAACUGAGACACGGUCCAGACUCCGACGGGAGGCAGCAGUAGGGAAUCUUCCGCAAUGGGAGAAAGACUGACGGAGCAACGCCGCGUGAGUGAUGAAGGUCUUCGGAUCGUAAAACUCUGUUAUUAGGGAAGAACAAAUGUGUAAGUAACUAUGCACGUCUUGACGGUACCUAAUCAGAAAGCCACGGCUAACUACGUG
RNAcentral lists this ribosomal RNA (497 nucleotides) under uncultured bacterium. RNAcentral describes it as "partial 16S ribosomal RNA". It matches the Rfam family "Bacterial small subunit ribosomal RNA", at positions 28 to 507 of the family's 1533-position model. The record is from RNAcentral.